RNAcentral lists this ribosomal RNA (220 nucleotides) under uncultured bacterium. RNAcentral describes it as "partial 16S ribosomal RNA". It matches the Rfam family "Bacterial small subunit ribosomal RNA", at positions 57 to 305 of the family's 1533-position model. The record is from RNAcentral.
GCAAGUCGAGCGCAUCCUUCGGGAUGAGCGGCGGACGGGUUAGUAACGCGUGGGAACAUACCCUUUUCUACGGAAUAGCCUUUGGAAACGAAGAGUAAUACCGUAUACGCCCUUCGGGGGAAAGAUUUAUCGGUUAAGGAUUGGCCCGCGUUAGAUUAGAUAGUUGGUGGGGUAACGGCCUACCAAGUCUACGAUCUAUAGCUGGUUUGAGAGGAUGAUC